GCGGAAGUGGCGGAAUUGGCAGACGCGCUAGGUUGAGGGCCUAGUCCCCGUUAAAGGGGGUGGGGGUUCAAAUCCCCCCUUCCGCA
Molecule: transfer RNA, 86 nt
Filed under: Candidatus Scalindua sp.
Lineage: Bacteria; Pseudomonadati; Planctomycetota; Candidatus Brocadiia; Candidatus Brocadiales; Candidatus Scalinduaceae
Also listed under: 1 other name
Description: tRNA-Leu
Rfam family: tRNA
About the family: Transfer RNA (tRNA) molecules are approximately 80 nucleotides in length. Their secondary structure includes four short double-helical elements and three loops (D, anti-codon, and T loops).
Source: RNAcentral